GAUGAUUUUACAAUAUUUUCCCAUUUGGAUCUAGUACAGCAUGUCUUAAGAUCCUGCCUCUUACUCUGCAAAUUGGUGCCUCGGUAUAAAUGCGAAGAUGGGUUUUGAGAGGAAAUUGAUGGCAGAGUUCGCCUAAGCCAAGAUUCAGAAGGAGUUUUUGGUUGAAGUGGGGGAAGAAGAUUCUGUACUAAACUGGUUUUUGCAUUUUCUGAAUCAAUGUUUGAAAUCUGAUCGCUUUCAAUAUCUUGAUUUCCUUCAAAGUGAGUUCUUAUACAUACUAAGGCCUGAGAUAAGUCCUCAAUCCUUUCUGCUUCGCCUUUGUGAGGUAAAUUGUCUGAGAGAAAAGAUAAAUCAGCAGCACCACACUGCAAGCCCUUAUGUUCCA
This 385-nucleotide unclassified non-coding RNA is filed under the name Hevea brasiliensis (rubber tree). The record is from RNAcentral. Lineage: Eukaryota; Viridiplantae; Streptophyta; Magnoliopsida; Malpighiales; Euphorbiaceae.